CGCUCCGGUGUCACGGGCGGCUUUCCCCCAAGGAACAACCGGGUGAAAGAAACCCGCCAAGCCCCACCCCUCCCGCCCGCGGCGCCGACUCACCCGCCAGGGUGAAUAUGCCCAACUCGGCUGGAUUUAGGGCGGCUUGCCUGCCUUACGCUCAGCGCAACACCACCGCAGACAUGCGACGGCCCUCGCCGGGAGUAGCGAUCCCGUGCGAGGGCCUGACCACCGAGGAAGGCACAAACUUCCUG
This 245-nucleotide non-coding RNA is filed under the name Streptomyces sp. NRRL B-3648. RNAcentral's name for it is "Streptomyces sRNA 4677". It matches the Rfam family "Streptomyces sRNA 4677". Rfam says of the family: Located in the intergenic region between anti-sigma factor SCO4677 gene and a putative regulatory protein gene SCO4676. scr4677 expression requires the SCO4677 activity and scr4677 sRNA itself seem to affect the levels of the SCO4676-associated transcripts. The record is from Rfam by way of RNAcentral. Lineage: Bacteria; Bacillati; Actinomycetota; Actinomycetes; Kitasatosporales; Streptomycetaceae.